AUGUGUUGUGAUGUAUUUAAUGUGUAGCCCAAGACAACUCUUUUUCCAAUGUGGCCCAGAGACCCUGACCCUCCUGCUAGGAGAGCAGGGGUCUGUCCUACAGGUCACUUCACUAGUGCUGUCCAGCACCCUGCAUGAGCAAGCUGGCUAAAAUAUUAUUUGCAACCACCAGAGAAGAGUAUACAAGUCAUCUUGGCAGCGCUAAGCUGGGAGAUAAAACUCCGCAGAAUCCAAAACGUUUAUUCAUUUUCGCAAUGAUCCUGCUGCUGGAGAUGGACCCAUUUUUCUCAACCAACUUUCCCAACUGUCUCCAGGAUUUCAUGUUGGCUAUUCUGUAAUGGCCUAUCUUUGAAUUUCCUGUCCUGUCUGCUGGUCUUCCCAUCUUCUGUGAACCCCAGAGAAUGCUCUUCAUUUCAGGAAAUACAUUCUAUAGCUCUGAUUUUUAAAAAACAAAAUCAU
This is a long non-coding RNA of Phyllostomus discolor (pale spear-nosed bat), 459 nucleotides long. RefSeq lists it as uncharacterized. The record is from RefSeq and is a predicted model, not a curated record. The transcript is spliced from 3 exons. Lineage: Eukaryota; Metazoa; Chordata; Mammalia; Chiroptera; Phyllostomidae.